Long non-coding RNA from Spinacia oleracea (spinach), 3946 nucleotides. RefSeq lists it as uncharacterized. The record is from RefSeq and is a predicted model, not a curated record. NCBI's taxonomy places the organism in Eukaryota, Viridiplantae, Streptophyta, Magnoliopsida, Caryophyllales, Amaranthaceae. The transcript has 2 exons.
GGAGCAGGGAGCUACGGUGGGUGCGGUGGUGGUCGGGUGGUGGUCGAGGGGUUGAGGUGGUGUUGGAUGGUUAUGGUGGUGGUGGUUUCAGUAGUUCGAAUCACAGAAAACAAAGAGAAAUGAAAGUUGAAAAUUGAUUUUAUGUUUUUUUAUUUUUGUCUUUUGUUGGAAUUCAAUUGAAGUUGUGGCUAAUUUGUAGAGUCAAGUAGAGUGUAUGAGAAGGAAAAUUGCUUGGGGCUUAAGGGUUGAAUGUGGACUGAAUUGAGGGAAGAGAAGAAGGAAGAAAUGGUUUCCUUCUUUGCUGUGUACGUGGGGAGUAAAGAGGAGAACAAAAAUGGAAUUUUGGCUUUGUAAGGGCAUUUUCGUAAUUUCACUUACUUAGGCAAAAAUUCAGAAAAUUGGUGCUACCUUAGAAAAUUAAUUGGAAUAGAAAUGUUUAAUUAAAAAUCAAGUUUUGAAAUAAUUCUUUAUAAGAAACAUUGUUAACGAAAAAUAAAUUAAAUUUUCGAAUAAAAUAAGAACGUUUCGAAAUUAUUAGAAAUCCGAAAAUAAUUAAAAUUUAAAAAGGGCGUUAAGCUCGUAAAUAUGAAUUUGAAUUAUAAACGGAAAAAAAAAUCGUGUAGCAAUUUAAAAAUUCAAGCGAAAUAAAACUUCGUUAAUUAAAAAUAAAAUUCGAAUUUAGGAUUUAAAACAAUUUUAAGCUAAAUAAAAAUAAUUAAGCAUAAUUAAUCGAGUUUUAAAAAUUCGGGGUAUUACAAGGUGAGAUUCUUUAUUCAAUCUCAUCACAUUAAACUGUUAUGUCUCCUUCAAACAAGGGUGAAGGCACCAGAGAUGGGCAAUCUUUACCUCAAUCUUUGUCCUAACUGGUGCUUUACUGCCAACUUGAGUUAUCACAAGUCCACAAGAAUGGAAGAAUAGUUCUAGCUAGCUUGGGACUCUGAUGUGUUUACUGUAAAUAUUAUCCAUGUGGGGCGUCAGAUUAUUCACUGUAUGGUCACUCUUUGGAACACUGGUGAAAGGUUCUAUGCUUCCUUUGUUUAUGGCUUGAAGACCCCUUCAAAAAGAGUAUAUUUAUGGUCUACUCUUACUUCUCUAGCUAAUAAUGUUUCUUGGGUUAUUAUGGGUGAUUUCAAUGCAAUAGUGGACAUGGAAGAGAGGAUAGGGCCAACUGUUAGACUUUUAGACAUUCAAUCUAUGAUACAAUGUACGGUAAGCUGUAAACUUACUGAAAUAAAGACAGUAGGUAGACACUUUACCUGGACCAACAAACAAGAUGGGCCUGAUGAGUGUUUACCAGAAUUAACAGAGUAUUAGCCAAUGAGGCAUGGGAUGAUUUGUACAGUAGUGCAGAAGCAACUUUUCUUCUCGAGGGACUUUUGAUCACUGUCCCAUGAUCUUUAACAUAUAUGAGUCUAACAUACAGAAGAAAACUUUUAGGUUCUACAAUAUGUGGACCACCUCGCAUGAGUUUCUCCCUAUAGUUGAAAAGAAUUGGGAUCAAUAUGUAUAUGACUGUCAUAUGUUCAGGAUCAUCACAAAACUCAGAUGGAUCAAAUAUGAUUUGAAACAAUUGAAUAGAGUGGGGUAUAGUUAUGUUGAAUCUGACCAGCUUAUACUCCAGAAGAAGCUUGCUGAGGUGCAGGAGAGAAUGCAUGCUAACCCUCUUGACACCCAGCUUGCUUCAGAUUAGAAAGAGGUUGCUGCAACCUACAUAUCAGCUACCAUAAAUAUAUUUCCUUUCUUUAGCAUAUUGUUAAGCUUCACUAGUUAGAGCAUGGUGAUGAGAAAUCAAAGGAUUUUCAUCAAAGCAUCAAACAAAGGAGGAAGCACAAUCAAAUCCAUUCAAUCCAAACUCACACUGGUGAACGGUUUACUCUCCCACGAAUGUUCAAUAUGAAUUUAUUGACUUCUAUGGAACAUGUUUGGUACUAAGACGUCUGACAUGUCUCUAGUCAACACAACAAUAAUGGAUAGAGGGCCAAGGCUUUCUGAGGAACACAAAAGGUAACUGGUGUGCUAUUUCAGUGUUGAUGAUGUUAAAAGAAUCCUGAACUCUAUCCCUAACAACAAGGCCCCGGGGAUAGAUGGCUUCAACAAUCACUUCUUCAAAGCUUCCUUAGAUGUUUUGAAAGAUGAUAUGCACGCAACCAUCAUGGAUUUUUUCAAUACUGGAAAAAUCUUGAAAGAAACUAAUGUUACUUCCAUCACCCUCAUUCCCAAAGUAAGUGUUACAACUUAUGUUAGUGACUUCAGAGCUAUUUCUUGUUGUAAUGUGCUCUAUAAUUUCAUCUCUAAGCUCAUGUGUGAGAAGUUAGGGUCCGUGCUCUCUGAUGUGAUUUCCCACAACCAAGGAGCUUGUCUUUGGUAGAUCAAUCCUCCACAAUGUGAUGUGUGACAAGACAUCAUCAAAAUGUAUAGGAAAAGCCAAAAACAUGCCAAUUGUUUUAUGAAGUUGGACCUUAAAAAGCUUAUGACACUGUGGAAUUGGAGUUCACUGCUGAAAUAAUGACUGAUCUUGGUUUUCCUGUGCAUCUUAUUAAGAUAAUCAUGACUUGUCUCUCCACAACUCAAUACUCUCUCCUUCUCAAUGGUGUCCACACUCAGAUUAUUCACUCAAAAAGAAGACUCAAUUAAGCAAGGAGAUCCUUUGUCCCUACUGAUGUUCACUCUGUGUAUGGAGUACUUCUCCAGAGCCAUGAUCACUGUUGGUGAACAUCCGAAGUUCAUGUUUCACUCUAGGUGUAGAGACAUGGUGCAGUGGCUUGGGAGAAGCUUUGCCUUCCUAAGUCUCAAGGUGGUCUUGGUUUUAGGAAUCUCUUAUUUUGGAACCAAGCUACAGUGGCUCAACAAGCAUUGAGGUAUAGCCAAGAAACAUGACAACUUAUGGGUCAAAUGGGUUCACUCGGUGUAUGUGAAAGACAAAGAUUCAGUCCAGUUCACUGCUCCUAAAGCUGCUAGUUAGGUGGUGAUGUUUGUGUGUAAAGUUAAAACUAUCUGUAUUGAUAAGUUUGAUAAGGUUCAGCUAGUUCAUUGGCUCACUGCACCAAAGUAUGCUAUCAAGGAGAUGUAUAAUCUUCUCAGAGAACAAGGAAAAAGUCCCAUGGCAACAGUAUGUUUGGAACAGGUUCUUUGUUCCUAAAUACAGAAUAUGGCUCACAACGAUGAACAAGUUAAAAACAAAAGUUAGACUGCAUUAACUUGGCAUUGAUGAUGACACCCUUCGUGCAGUAUGUGGCACCUAUCCUGAAACUAUUCCACAUUUGUUUUUUGAAUGUACUUUUAGUACUAAAUGCAGGAAGAUAAUCAUGACUUGGCUGGGGUUUCACUCCAACAAAAAGUCAGUUUCUCCCCUACUAAAUUGGGUUCAGAGGUACACUAAAGGAAGAUUCAAAAAGACUUUAAGUUACACUGCCAUUGCUAGUCUUGUUUACGAUAUUUGGAAAUCAAGGUAUGCAGCUGUUUGGUCCAUGAAAGUGCCAACUGUCAAAGCUACUACCCAGCAGAUUCAGUAUGAGGUUAAACAUAGGGUUCAACAGCUAAUGAGUGUUAAAACUUUGUAAUAGGGAUAGGGAUUGGAUCCACACUUUGUAGUGGCCUUCUCUAGGGUUGGUAAGGCUAAUUGUUUUUUUUUUUUUUGGGGGGGUUCUACUACGAGGAGUUCCCACCGCCUUCGGCGAGUGGACUAAUAUAUCCCCGCGGGAGUUUGCAUGGCUACCUCGAUAGACAGCAUCCCUCCUAGUUGAGAUUUUUUCCAUUCAUAAGGCUCGAACCCAAGACCUUGGUUAAGGAGCAAGAGACCCUUAACCACUCAUGCCAACCUCAAUUGGUGGUUAGGCUACUUGUUGAUAGCCUUUUUGUUAUUUGGGCUCCCUUGGUUGUUGUUUUGGCUCUAAGGGUGUUCUUUUAGUGUGUAAUGGUUCAAAGUGAUUAAUAUAUUUCCUUUCUA